RNAcentral lists this ribosomal RNA (497 nucleotides) under uncultured bacterium. RNAcentral's name for it is "partial 16S ribosomal RNA". It matches the Rfam family "Bacterial small subunit ribosomal RNA", at positions 28 to 507 of the family's 1533-position model. The record is from RNAcentral.
GAUGAACGCUGGCGGCGUGCCUAAUACAUGCAAGUCGAGCGAACAGACGAGGAGCUUGCUCCUCUGACGUUAGCGGCGGACGGGUGAGUAACACGUGGAUAACCUACCUAUAAGACUGGGAUAACUUCGGGAAACCGGAGCUAAUACCGGAUAAUAUAUUGAACCGCAUGGUUCAAUAGUGAAAGACGGUUUUGCUGUCACUUAUAGAUGGAUCCGCGCCGCAUUAGCUAGUUGGUAAGGUAACGGCUUACCAAGGCAACGAUGCGUAGCCGACCUGAGAGGGUGAUCAGCCACACUGGAACUGAGACACGGUCCAGACUCCUACGGGAGGCAGCAGUAGGGAAUCUUCCGCAAGGGGCGAAAGCCUGACGGAGCAACGCCGCGUGAGUGAUGAAGGUCUUCGGAUCGUAAAACUCUGUUAUUAGGGAAGAACAAAUGUGUAAGUAACUAUGCACGUCUUGACGGUACCUAAUCAGAAAGCCACGGCUAACUACGUG